Molecule: non-coding RNA, 910 nt
Organism: Aegilops tauschii subsp. strangulata
Lineage: Eukaryota; Viridiplantae; Streptophyta; Magnoliopsida; Poales; Poaceae
Source: RefSeq, a predicted model, not a curated record
UUCCCUAGUGUGGCUACUGCCCUCUCUAACUAUACGGGUGUGUUGAGUGUGCAUGCUGGCAAGGUGGUGCCAGCUGCUAUCGGUGCAGCAGCUGGUGUGUUGUGUGUGUGCGCGCUUCCUCUCUGAAUCUUUAACGCUAAGAUUCUUUGAAUUUCUUAUGUAUCUUGUACACUGCAGGGUACCAAGUAGAGGCAAAACUGCAGGGUACCAAGUAGAGACAAACCGCUGCACUGUGGUCUAGGUAGCUUCGUAACAGCCAUGGCGCACAAUAUAGCUUCAGAGGGCGAUCGCGAUGGCCGUUGUUGAACUGAAUCGCGAUCAACCAAGGGUAUGAUUGGGUAGCAUGCUACUUGCUGAUGUCCAUCACAAUCCGCCAUGACAUAUAGUUGCCAUCAGGAGAGUCGACGACAAGAACACGAGUGACAACCUUAGUAGUUUAUAUGUUUUGUUGAUGUAAAUUGGAUUGAACCAGUUCCUAAUCCUUGUUGUGUGAUAUAUUGUGUCAAUAUAUGUUGUAUACUAUCAUUUCAUGGAGGAUAUGAUAAAUUGCUUCGGAAAUAUUGUACUUUGGAAAUAUUUGUGUAACGUAUGGUGCUUUGGAAAUAUUGUUUUGGUCCAAAAUUCGCAUUAUGAUUUACAGGACACAUUAUGCUGAAAGUGUAUUUGAUGAAAAUUGGUCUGAAAGAAAUGGAUGGUACCAUAUUUAAAUUGAUCCUAAAUCCAUGAAGGUUCUUGUGACAAAAAUAGUGUCCACGUAGGUGGCCAUGUCAUUCCACGUGGCAUUGGUCCAUGACGGCCUGUUCCGUCACAGCCUAGUUUGGGCUUGGGCGGGCCUGAGGUAGUUCCAUGACGGCCAAGAACCGUCAUGGAAGCUACGAUCUCAAAUUAUGACGCGAUAUACAUGACGGAU